ACAAGUACCGUGAGGGAAAGUUGAAAAGCACUUUGAAAAGAGAGUGCAAGAGAACGUGAAACCGUUAUAGUGGAAGCGGAUGGAGCCGAUGUAUUUAGUACGUAUUCAGCCGUUAAUGGGUGCAAUUUUUUGAGUUGAAGUUCUGCAAAGUCUUCGCUUGAUCUUGUUGUGCUCGUUGGCGGUGCAUUUGCGUACAAAGUGCGCCGAAUCGGUCGAUUCAGUCGUUUGAAGCCCAAAAAGAGGACUUUGCUUCGGCUUAGAAACCUGUUUGGGCGAAUGGCGAAUUGGGUUGAUUGUAAGCAGAAGUUGGUGUAAUCGUGGCAGUGGUUUCGGAUUUGAGUGUUUUUAGUACGACACAUGUGUUUUGCUUUUAAUAUUUGCGUUCGAGGCUAUUGUUGCUCGACUUCCAUUCGGUGUCUCGUCGGUCACCCAUUUGACCCGUCUUGAAACACGGACCAAGGAGUUUAAGGUAUACGCAAGUCAUUGGACGUUAAAAUUCAAAGGCGUAAUGAAAGUGGGACACUUGGUGUCUGCGAUGUGAAUCGGUCGUGUUUCGACACUACUGAUGCAACAUCGACCCGUGAUUAGGAUUUAUUCUGUUGCGGAGUCUGAGCGUAUGCUUUGAGACCCGAAAGAUGGUGAACUAUGCCCGAACAGGACGAAGUCAGAGGAAACUCUGAUGGAAGUCCGAAGCGGUUCUGACGUGCAAAUCGAUCGUCUGAUUUGGGUAUAGGGGCGCAAGACUAAUCGAACCAUCUAGUAGCUGGUUCCUUCCGA
RNAcentral lists this ribosomal RNA (777 nucleotides) under Aphelenchoides sp. Asp27947. RNAcentral's name for it is "eukaryotic LSU rRNA". It matches the Rfam family "Eukaryotic large subunit ribosomal RNA", at positions 344 to 964 of the family's 3401-position model. The record is from RNAcentral. Lineage: Eukaryota; Metazoa; Nematoda; Chromadorea; Rhabditida; Aphelenchoididae.